This 470-nucleotide long non-coding RNA is filed under the name Chloebia gouldiae (Gouldian finch). Its description in RNAcentral is "Erythrura gouldiae (Gouldian finch) lncRNA (ENSEGOG00005000914.1)". Lineage: Eukaryota; Metazoa; Chordata; Aves; Passeriformes; Passeridae. The record is from RNAcentral.
GGACGUGGCGCAUCCAGCGAGCGCCGUGACAGCCCCCACGCAGCCCACAGCAGCUGCAGGCGCUGCCGGAUUGAAGCCGAGCGGCAGCGCGCCGGGCUGGCCGGCCUCGGGAGGAAGCCAUGGCUUGGUCCUGUGUGCCGUGGGUGCUGCGUCCUGGGCUGGGAGCAGCAGGGACCAUGUUAGAUGGAGGCCUUUUGUACAGAUGCUGGGUGCCAGGCCGAAGAUUUAUUAUUCGUCCUUGUUCAUGCAAAUCUUGUGCCUAAAAGUUCGGCCCAGCUGGCAGAAAUGCGCUGGACUGGCUGGGGCCCGGCGAAGCUGAGCCUGAGGCGAGGCGUGUUUACCCGAGGAAGUGCCAACACAGCCCAGAGAACAUAAAAUUGCACCAUGCUGUCCCUCCCUUGCGCUGUCACGGAAACCAGAUGCCAGGAUGGAAAAGCACCAGGAGAUGAAUAAAAAAGCUUCAAGUGCCA